This 65-nucleotide small nucleolar RNA is filed under the name Castor canadensis (American beaver). RNAcentral describes it as "Small nucleolar RNA U54 (ENSCCNG00000029057.1)". It matches the Rfam family "Small nucleolar RNA U54". The record is from Rfam by way of RNAcentral. Lineage: Eukaryota; Metazoa; Chordata; Mammalia; Rodentia; Castoridae.
CGGCGAUGAGGAGACGUACGGUGCUGAGUUGCGGUGAUAGCCCUAUACGCUAUUCUGAGCCGGCG